This 303-nucleotide long non-coding RNA is filed under the name Panicum hallii. Its description in RNAcentral is "long non-coding RNA (PHAL_LNC000621)". The record is from RNAcentral. Lineage: Eukaryota; Viridiplantae; Streptophyta; Magnoliopsida; Poales; Poaceae.
AUCUUUGUUUAAGCCUUGCAUAUCAUUUAUUUUUUAAUAUACUUACUGAGUACUAACCAUAAGUGUACUCAUACUUGCUAAAACUGCUGCUCAGAAGAGAAAGUUGCUGUGAAGUUUUCUGAAUAUGUUGCUGAGUUCUAGACAUACGCAACCCCGGUCGAUUGCCUGUGAAAGUUGCUGUGAAGUUUUCUGAAUAUGUUGCUGUGUAUCUUUGGUAGUCUUUUAGUCAUUUUAAGUUUCUUUUUCGAGAUAUUUUUGCUCAUUAUUCCAUUAUGACGUCACUAUAUGUAUAGAACUUGAUCC